Non-coding RNA from Cyanistes caeruleus (blue tit), 475 nucleotides. The record is from RefSeq and is a predicted model, not a curated record. Lineage: Eukaryota; Metazoa; Chordata; Aves; Passeriformes; Paridae.
CGAGGGCAGGGGGCGGGAGCCGCUCCUCAGGCCGGGAUCGCUUCCCCCGGCAUCCCCGGCCCUUGGGCAGCCUCCCCUGCCCCGGGCUCCCUUCCCCUUGCGGGGGGAAGGCAGGCAGCCUUCUGUUCCUCUGGACAGGCUUCUCUCGGGAGAUUCGAACUCCUCGAGCAAUGGAAUUUCUUGAAUGUCAUCAAAAGAAGUCAGACCCAGAUGUGGACUGUUCCUGCUUGACAUAUCAGGAGUGAAGCUAGCUUUCUGUGGUUUCCCAUGCUGCAGUGAGAGAAGGAUUAAAAACUAAGGUAUCUUGUUUCUUAUCAAAUGAGUUCAAGCUUCAUGGAGCAUAAGAUGGAGGAAAGCUGAGCUGGUGUGGCGCAUGACUACAUACUGAGUAUGAUCAAAUGCGUGAGAAAUUGGUGAUUCUGGACAGUAAAUAAGAUGCCCUUCUCUUCACAAAGCACUGCCCAAGUGCGGUAAU